RNAcentral lists this long non-coding RNA (2708 nucleotides) under Medicago truncatula (barrel medic). RNAcentral describes it as "long non-coding RNA (MTRU_LNC001126)". Lineage: Eukaryota; Viridiplantae; Streptophyta; Magnoliopsida; Fabales; Fabaceae. The record is from RNAcentral.
UUCCCAAACGGUCAUAGUACAUAGCUUUGUCAUGGUAAAUAUCAACAUAAGUACUCUAAGUUGUUAGCGAUCAUCAAAUCUCUACCAGUUUAGCGCUUCCAAUUCCGUAUUGCAUAUUCUUGGUUAAGAUACCUAUAAGUUUGAAGGCAUGUUGGCGCCACACCAGUCCUGAAUUGUAUAUAAAUACACACCACAUAUGUCAAAUAAUGUGUAACAAUAAUAGCUCUAUCAACGAUUCAAUUUACAAAACAAUCUAAAUUGGCCACAAAAUAAUGCUCCUUGAAAAAUCAUGACAACAAAGCAAAGAAAGAACUUUCAAACAGUAGUUGAUACCUUACAAUUAAAUUGAUCAAAAUGGCCAAAAUAGACUCAAAACCUCCAAUAUUUACUUAUGUCAACAAUAUCAUUAGAUGAUUUUUACUUACAACUCUAAGGAUUGCAUAUGGUGUGUUGGAGUGGAGGAAUCUUCUGUUCAUUUGUUUGUGCAUUGCAGGAUGGCAGCUCGGGUGUGGGAUAAGAUUUUGAGCUGGUGUGGGAUUAGUUUUAUAACCCUGCAUAAUAUGUUUGCUCAGGUGGAGUGUUGUUUUGCGGCCCUGAGAGGAAAGAAGGUUUGUAGGGGAUUUUCGCUCAUUUGGCACGCGGCCAUUUGGGUGUUGUAGAGAGUUAGGAACGAUAGGUUGUUUAAUAAUGUAAUAAAGGAGGUGGAAGAUGUAGUGGAUGAAAUUAAAGUGUUCUCUUGGAAUUGGGUCCUGUACCGAACUAAGGCGUUUUCGAGUAUGUAUUUUGAGUGGUGUUGGGUUCCCGGGAAGUUCCUUAGCCGUUAGGGAAGUGGCAGGUUGUGUUUUUUACUCUGUUUGUGGAUGUUUUGGUGUUUUUCUGUCAUUAGCAUUUUCUGUUUAGGUGCUGUCAGCAUGCUGCUCCGGUUUUCUGUUAGUAGCUUGCCGGUUUAGGUGCUGCCAGCAUGUUGUUGCUGUGUAUUUUUCUGCUUUGUUCAGUUUGGGCUUGGGUUGUUAAUCUGGCUGCUGAUUUUUCUGGUGUAUGUUGCUGUGCUGCGCCUAGGUUGCACUUCUUGUGCCUAGAGCUGAAUAUAUUUGCUGUUAAAAAAAAAUUACUUAGAACUCAAACUAAACGGAUAUAGUUGCAAUCAACAUACAUUUGUAGUGCGCGGCAGAAUAUGAGAUCCGUGAUUUUACAAAGACUAUAAUUGAUAGAUUAAUAAAUUGUCUCCUUGCUGUUCAAUUUCAAGGCCAUGUACUAUGUCUUAAAUUUGCUUCCUUGACACGCACAUGCAACGCUCCAAUACAACAGACAACACCUGCACAACCGAUUCAUUCUACAAAUUUUAAAACAAUUGACAGCUGGGACUUUUCAAACCAAACCAUAGAAUAAAAUUACAUCCACCUCUGCGUACCUUUCUCUAGCUGCCUUCACCUGUUUAAAAAACUCAGUUCCUUGAUUUUCCAUAUACACCAGAAAAAUAGGAACACAAAAAAAAGAUGCAUCCAUAAAGAUGCAUAUCGGCUGCACCAUCAUUAGCCUUUGAAUUGCUUAAGUUACAAUGUCACUGGAUCAUCACUGGUUAAAAGAAAAAUUGCUUAUAUUUAGGAAAUCCCCAAUAUGAAAAUCCCAAACUUGACAAACAAACCAAACCCCAUAAAUUAUUUAUACUUAGCAAAAUUGAAAAUGAAAGUGUACGAAACAUAGCAAGCUACCACUGAAAUAAACCUCAUUAUCAAGAGAUCUAUCGAUAUGGGUUUUACGGCAAACUCCAUUUCUGGAAAAUAAGAAAUUCAUGCAAAUGAAGAUAUGAUUUCAUUCUUUUUUCAGUUUUAUGAAUUAAAUAACAAAUUAGGGAAUAUAGAUUUGAAAUGAAGAUACAAAUUAGGCUUAAAUGCUGGUCCCUUGGGCUAUUUAAUUGACAUCGCUUUUGUCCCUUAACUAAAAAAAAAGAUUGUUUGAGGAUUUUAAUUUUUUUUUAGUCUCGUUUUGGUCCCUUCUGUUAGGUUUUCGUUACUUUUAAUAAAAAUCGUUAAGUGUGGACACGUGUCACCUUGUCAUUGGUUCUGAGAUUUUUUUUUUUUUUAUUUUUUUAUUUUUUUUAAUAUAUAUAUUUAAUUUUUUUUGUAAAAAAUUCCCAGAACCAAUGACAAGGUGACACGUGUUAACUCUGGGACACGUGUCACUUUGUCAUUGGCUUUGGGAUUUUUUUAAAAAAAUAAUAUAUAUUUAAAAAAAAAAAAUUUGUAAAAAAAAAAAUGUAGAGCCAAUGACAAGGUGACACGUGUCCAGGAGUUAACUUUUUUUUAAAACCCUAACGGAAACCUAAUAGAAGGGACCAAAAUGAGACUAAAAAAAACUUAAAAUCCUCAAACAAUCUUUUUUUUAGUUAAGGGACCAAAGCGAUACCAAUUAAAUAUUUAAGGGACCAAAAGAGCAUUUAAGCCUGCAAAUUAAUAAUAUUAGAAGUUAUCUACAGAAGAACCAAGGAGGAAGAGGUUUUUGAAGGCAGAGUGAGUCCGGUCGGAGAUAACAACAACAUCUAUAAUUUCAACAACCACAAUAGAUUUCAGCGACCUUUGAUUAGGAGUAAUCUGAGAAAAAAAAAACAUCUUCGUUGAAGGUGCUACGACAGCGGUGAUUGUAACGUGAUCGUCGCAGCUGACGGCGUGGAAGAUGAGACGACGGAGGGAGGCAAUGGAGAGAGAGUU